This 256-nucleotide long non-coding RNA is filed under the name Fukomys damarensis (Damara mole-rat). RNAcentral describes it as "lncRNA (ENSFDAG00000029042.1)". The record is from RNAcentral. Lineage: Eukaryota; Metazoa; Chordata; Mammalia; Rodentia; Bathyergidae.
CCAGAUUGGGGGAAUCUGAAGGAAGGCUUCCUCCAUGCCAUUUCACAGUGGUUCCCCGUGGGACGAAGAUCUGUCAUCACAGGGAGUCUGGCUUGACGAGUAAAGAAGUCCCUAGGAGAUGGAGGCAGCAAGACGUGUGAGGCAUUGGAGUGCUGCAUCAGAACUUGCUUGUUUCACACAGCCCUAAUACCCACUCCAUCCUGGGGAGCCUGGACCAGAGUCAGGCAGGGAAAGAGAGAAAGCCAUCACUACCACA